This is a long non-coding RNA of Chinchilla lanigera (long-tailed chinchilla), 2364 nucleotides long. The record is from Ensembl. NCBI's taxonomy places the organism in Eukaryota, Metazoa, Chordata, Mammalia, Rodentia, Chinchillidae.
UGCUAACUGGAAAACAAGAACAAAAAUGAACUACUAGGUAGUUGAAACCACUGACUCUUGCUGCUCCUUCCUGCCCCUGGGUAAUUUAUGGCAGCAGAGCUGGGCUCCCACACUGCGGCUGCCACUUUGGCGUGGCUGUUCUGCUCACCGCGCAGGGGGCAGCCGGCCAAGGAGGAAGCCAUGCUGCCCGCUCUGUGGAUUUCAAGCCACACUGCGCAUGCUGGAGUUCCCACAGCCGCCCCUGCAGCCCCUACUCCCGGGAUCUCAGAGGUGCACUGCAGUUACAGUCUACAAACCACUGCUCGCUCAAACUCCAUCCUGAACUUAUGGCCCCAUGUCUGCAAAAAGAGAGGCCGGAUUACGUUGUCUAAGCUGCAAAGAACUGGAGUGAGGGAAGCUCCACACUUUGGAUACCUGAAGCAAGAAACAGCAGUUGCCUUCACAGAAUGUUAAGGAUCCUAAAAUAACCAUCAGUUGUUCUAAUCUGCGUUACUUACAAUGCUUAUUUUCGUUCCACUGCAUUUGGAGAGCUAAUUAAUUACAAGGUGGUCAGGAUAAUUUAUUCUUCCCUAUUAUUAAUGAGGGUGUGUGUGUGUGUGUGUGUGUGUGUGUGUGGUACUGGGGAUUGAACCCAGGACAUUCACACUGAGCUACAUCCUCAGUUCUCUUUUAACAUUUUGUUGUAAUUUUGAGACAGAGUCUCAGUAAGUUGCUUAGUUACCCAGGCUGGGCUCAAACUUUCAAUCCUGAUCUUCCUCUGCUUUGCAGAGUACUGGGAAUUCAAGCAUGUGAAACGACACCUGCUAUUCAUGAGGAUUUCAUUACUUUUCUGCACUCACUAAUGAUUUAAAGAGAAAAGCAAGAGAUACUUUGCAAAAUGACUGUAAAAACUGAAUGCUCAGGGACAGGAAGCUGCAGGGCUUGUGUGUGUUCCUCUCUUCCAUAACCGUUGUUGAAUCUUUAUUAUAUGCCAGGCAUUGCCCUAGCGCCAGGAUACACAACAAAUAAAUGGUCUUAUGACAUUUUUUUCACUUUUUGUUUUCCUUUACAGGAGCAACACGGCACCAAAUUGGUUUUGAAGAUGCUUCAGUAUUUCCUGAAUGCAUGCAGGGCUUCUCCCGGUUCUCCUAGUGCAAUCACCAGGUCACCCGCUUUGCAGUUCACCUGCCUCUGCAUGGCCCCUGCCCCCCUGUAAAGGGCGAAAGGCCAUUUACUCAAGGAAAGGCCUCCCUAAAGUGUCUGAGGAUCUGUAAUGAAGAUGCGGCUUUGCAGUUUGCAAGGGACAAAUAAAUUAAUGAUGGAGAGAGGAUUGUGUUCAAUCAGCAGAGCAUUACGUAGAACUCGUGAUCACAAAGCAAAGAGCUUACAAAAUAGCUGUUAAUGUUAUGGACCUAUUUGCUCUUUUUGUUUUUGCUUUCUGAAGCUUGAGAGGAAAACCAUUAUUAAGUGAAUAUGACAACAACUACACAAACUGUAGCCCUUGGUCCCUUGAGAAAACCUUCUGUCUGCCUUCCUCACCUGCCAAUGGCCCCCAGCACCCCUCUGGGUUGGGAAUGCUGCCUGGGCGGCUCUGGCUGGCCUCUCUCUCACAGGGCCUGAAUAGCAGACACUGGAUAAGUCCCUGUGUGGGUGAAUUUUGCUAGCAGUGGCUGUCCCUGAGCACUGAGAUGCACAGGGGUUCCUACUGAGGUCAGUCACACGGCUUUAUUAUACUGCAUUUCUCUUUGGAGUCCAUCCUCAAGGACAGCUCAGCCCUUAUGGUCUUCCUCUGCCCCCUCCCUGGAGACUUGCUGCCUUUUAUGUCAUGUCUCAUUGAUGGCACUGCAUUGACAAAGCUAACAGAGUCUUGACGAUGUCUGUGGCUCCACCUGAAAUUUGUAUUUGCUGUCCUUAUUCCUGAUGAAAAGCUUCCUAGGAUGUCAUUCACCCAUCAAUGCUUCUAGGAUUCUGAAAUAAGUCUGAGACUUGAAGUGCAUCAUGUACUCACAGGAUAAGCUGUUCAAAACUUAAACUGAAGUCUAGGUAGAGUUGCUGAAAGUUUGCAUUUAAAUAAUGGUCCUGGAAUAAAGUAAAUGCCUCACAGAGGCUAAUAAUGAUGGGUAGUUUUCAUUUAAAAAUGAGUUGGUUACACUAUCAGAUCCUUUUCAAGCUCUGAAGCUAAAAGAUUGAAAUGAAUUUCUAACUUAUAUAAAACUAUGUGGGUUCUCCAUUCUUCCUUGACAAAUGAUCCUAAAAUGUAGUAGCUCAAAAGGACAGGUCUUUAUUUUGCUGGCCAUCUAUGCGGUUGGGUGAGGACUGCUCAUCUCUGCUCCGUGAACGUGGCUGGCAUAGAAGGAGCUGUGUUGGAGGUGACCCAAUCACAUU